RNAcentral lists this ribosomal RNA (439 nucleotides) under uncultured bacterium. RNAcentral's name for it is "bacterial SSU rRNA". It matches the Rfam family "Bacterial small subunit ribosomal RNA", at positions 28 to 480 of the family's 1533-position model. The record is from RNAcentral.
GACGAGCGCUGGCGGCGCGCCUAACACAUGCAAGUCGAACGAGAGAGAAGGAGCUUGCUUCUUCGAUCGAGUGGCGAACGGGUGAGUAACGCGUGAGGAACCUGCCUCAAAGAGGGGGACAACAGUUGGAAACGACUGCUAAUACCGCAUAAGCCCACAGGUCGGCAUCGACCAGAGGGAAAAGGAGCAAUCCGCUUUGAGAUGGCCUCGCGUCCGAUUAGCUAGUUGGUGAGGUAAUGGCCCACCAAGGCGACGAUCGGUAGCCGGACUGAGAGGUUGAACGGCCACAUUGGGACUGAGACACGGCCCAGACUCCUACGGGAGGCAGCAGUGGGGAAUAUUGCACAAUGGGGGAAACCCUGAUGCAGCGACGCCGCGUGGAGGAAGAAGGUCUUCGGAUUGUAAACUCCUGUUGUUGAGGAAGAUAAUGACGGUACUC